GGGGCUGUAGCUUAGUGGUAGAGCACUUGCCUCACAUGCGUGAGGACCUGGGUUUGAAUCUCAGCACCA
This 69-nucleotide transfer RNA is filed under the name Urocitellus parryii (Arctic ground squirrel). Its description in RNAcentral is "Spermophilus parryii (Arctic ground squirrel) tRNA". It matches the Rfam family "tRNA". From Rfam's summary of the family: Transfer RNA (tRNA) molecules are approximately 80 nucleotides in length. Their secondary structure includes four short double-helical elements and three loops (D, anti-codon, and T loops). RNAcentral also lists the same sequence under 1 other name. Lineage: Eukaryota; Metazoa; Chordata; Mammalia; Rodentia; Sciuridae. The record is from Rfam by way of RNAcentral.